AUUGAACGCUGGCGGCAGGCCUAACACAUGCAAGUCGAACGGUAACAGGAAGAAGCUUGCUUCUUUGCUGACGAGUGGCGGACGGGUGAGUAAUGUCUGGGAAACUGCCUGAUGGAGGGGGAUAACUACUGGAAACGGUAGCUAAUACCGCAUAAUGUCGCAAGACCAAAGAGGGGGACCUUCGGGCCUCUUGCCAUUGGCUGUGCCCAGAUGGGAGUAGCUAGUAGGUGGGGUAACGGCUCACCUAGGCGACGAUCCCUAGCUGGUCUGAGAGGAUGACCAGCCACACUGGAACUGAGACACGGUCCAGACUCCUACGGGAGGCAGCAGUGGGGAAUAUUGCACAAUGGGCGCAAGCCUGAUGCAGCUAUGCCGCGUGUAUGAAGAAGGCCUUCGGGUUGUAAAGUACUUUCAGCGGGGAGGAAGGAAGUAAAGUUAAUACCUUUGCUCAUUGACGUUACCCGCAGAAGAAGCACCGGCUAACUCCGUG
RNAcentral lists this ribosomal RNA (490 nucleotides) under uncultured bacterium. RNAcentral describes it as "partial 16S ribosomal RNA". It matches the Rfam family "Bacterial small subunit ribosomal RNA", at positions 30 to 507 of the family's 1533-position model. The record is from RNAcentral.